Molecule: ribosomal RNA, 451 nt
Filed under: uncultured bacterium
Lineage: Bacteria
Description: partial 16S ribosomal RNA
Rfam family: Bacterial small subunit ribosomal RNA
Source: RNAcentral
GUGGGGAAUAUUGGACAAUGGGGGGAACCCUGAUCCAGCCAUGCCGCGUGUGUGAAGAAGGCCUUUUGGUUGUAAAGCACUUUAAGCGAGGAGGAGGCUACCGAGAUUAAUACUCUUGGAUAGUGGACGUUACUCGCAGAAUAAGCACCGGCUAACUCUGUGCCAGCAGCCGCGGUAAUACAGAGGGUGCAAGCGUUAAUCGGAUUUACUGGGCGUAAAGCGCUCGUAGGUGGCCAAUUAAGGCAAAUGUGAAAUCCCCGAGCUUAACUUGGGAAUUGCAUUCGAUACUGGUUGGCUAGAGUAUGGGAGAGGAUGGUAGAAUUCCAGGUGUAGCGGUGAAAUGCGUAGAGAUCUGGAGGAAUACCGAUGGCGAAGGCAGCCAUCUGGCCUAAUACUGACACUGAGGUGCGAAAGCAUGGGGAGCAAACAGGAUUAGAUACCCUGGUAGUCC